UACGUAGGGUGCAAGCGUUGUCCGGAAUUAUUGGGCGUAAAGAGCUCGUAGGCGGUCUGUCGCGUCGGCUGUGAAAUCCCGAGGCUCAACCUCGGGCCUGCAGUCGAUACGGGCAAACUGGAGUGUUGCAGGGGAGACUGGAAUUCCUGGUGUAGCGGUGAAAUGCGCAGAUAUCAGGAGGAACACCGGUGGCGAAGGCGGGUCUCUGGGCCGAUACUGACGCUGAGGAGCGAAAGCGUGGGGAGCGAACAGG
This 253-nucleotide ribosomal RNA is filed under the name uncultured bacterium. RNAcentral's name for it is "partial 16S ribosomal RNA". It matches the Rfam family "Bacterial small subunit ribosomal RNA", at positions 524 to 776 of the family's 1533-position model. The record is from RNAcentral.